GGGGAGAAGAUAAGAUGGAUUAGCGGCGGACGGGUGAGUAACACGUGAGUAACCUGCCUUUGACACAGGGAUAGCCUCGGGAAACCGGGAUUAAUACCAGAUAACAUUAUCAGAUCGCAUGAGAAGAUAAUCAAAGCUGAGGCGGUCAAAGAUGGACUCGCGUCCCAUUAGCUAGUUGGUAGAGUAAUAGCCUACCAAGGCAACGAUGGGUAGCCGGCCUGAGAGGGUGAACGGCCACAUUGGAACUGAGAAACGGUCCAAACUUCUACGGGAGGCAGCAGUGGGGAAUAUUGCACAAUGGGGGAAACCCUGAUGCAGCGACGCCGCGUGAGCGAAGAAGGUUUUCGAAUCGUAAAGCUCUGUCCUAUGGGAAGAUAAUGACGGU
This 385-nucleotide ribosomal RNA is filed under the name uncultured bacterium. Its description in RNAcentral is "bacterial SSU rRNA". It matches the Rfam family "Bacterial small subunit ribosomal RNA", at positions 82 to 458 of the family's 1533-position model. The record is from RNAcentral.